AAGGGAUAUGAAAUACUCUUUUAUUGUUAAUUUGUAUAUUUGCCUUGCUGCAAAUGUCAUCUAAAGCUGUGUAGGAGGAACGUAUCUGGAGGGGUGUUUUUCCAAAUUUGUUUUAUUUGGUGUAGACACACUCUGAAAUAAACCUGAAGCCUGGGAGGGGUAGGAGGGGUGGAGGCUGGGCUUGAACCUUAACCCCAUGAGUGUUCCUCUCGGCCCCGUGGGCUCUGGCUGCACAGCCCACACAGGGCUCCCCAAAUUAUCUCAAAAGACAAAGUGAUGGGGAUCGAUGUGGCUUGUAACUUCUUCCCUAACUCCCUUACUAUUGAUGUUUUCUAACAAGAGAUCCAAACUGUGACAAGGAAAAUGAGUGAAGAAAGACCUUUCGAAAGAGGAGCAAAAUGGGAGCUGAUCCAAGCGUCUGUAAUUAGCUAAUGGCUGUGAAUAUUUAUGAAAUCUCCCAGCAGUGGCAGUGAAGUGCUGAUCCCAGAGAAGUGGACGCUCUCUUCCUUGAUGUCUUUAAUCCUUGCAGUCCCAGCUGCCACGGCUCGAGUUUUGGAAAACCCCACCCUCUUUCUGGCCUCUGAUCAAAAUCAAUAUUUCAGAGGGAAAUGCAGAAGAGCAAAGGAGUUAAACAAAAGUUCAGAUAAGCAUAACAAAUACUGGAAAGAUGAGAUCCUCCAAGCAGAGUGCUCUAGAAAGCUCUCCUGUUAAUCUGGGCAAGGCUUUCAUCAAUUGCUCUGAGCAGGAAGAGCUAUUAUUGGACUCAUAAGGAGAUAUGCACUAAAGAACAGCCAAUGGGAGGAAAAGACAGAACUGAAGGCAUAUGGUUUCAAGUGAGAUUUCAAGUGGCAAGUAGGGAUUCUGCCCCCUCCCAUGAGCAAACCAGGGGAUGUGAAUACGAUGGAGCAUGGAAGGGACAUCGCUGCCAUGGACAGCUCUUUGUGCCAGGGCUGCAGCAGCACAGGGAGAGCUCGGUCAGCCCCUGCCCACAGCCCACGGCUGCUGUGCCCUGUUCAGUCUCUGCCCUGGGGGAGGAAGGCAGAGGGUUGAGAAGAUAAUUUGGUUUUUUGGGUUCCCUUUCCAUUUGUCCCACAAAAUCAGCCAUCUCCAGGCUCGUGGUGAGCGCUGAGUGAAAGAAAAGCAGCAUGAUUUCAGCUGGAGCUGGGGGGUGCUGGUGUGGAGCAUCCUCACAGCCCUCCUGUCUGCCCAUGUGUGCGUGGAGAAGGGUGGUUUUCCUGGCCUGAUCUGUCAGCACCGGUGAUAUUCCCAUAAUAAACACUCAUGCUAGUUACACAAGACAUGUUGACUAGUUUAUUGUACAGUAAUUGCUGCUCUUGCAGGACAUCCACCCACUCGGGCUGUGAGCAGAGGCUCCAGGCUUUUCUCAAAAACAUCUGAUUUUAUAGAAAGUUCUAGCAUCUGAUUUUUACAGUAUUUGCUAGUGCAGUCUAAAAGAAAGCAAUGCAGAUUUCCCUUUCCUGCCCCACAUUCAGGCAGACUUUUUAGGAAAUGCAGAAAACAGUAAAGGAACCCAUGAAUACAAAAUUGAACGUGGCAAUCAGAGGAGCCAGCUCUCCUAAUGAGGCUUUAUUUAACCAAUGACAAUGUGCCGAGAAAACCAGAGGAAAUGGGUCAGCUAAAAAAUCUGGUGCUACAAAUGCCUGGUGUAAUUUCCCCUCACUAAAAUGGAUGUCCUUCUGAAAGGGCUGGAUAAGGAAUCAUCCCCUGAAGUCCUGCAGCUAAUUUGCAAGACAUGGAUGAAAGGACUGGAGCGUUGGGACUGGAGACUGGUAAUGUGACACAUCCAGAGUAAGAUGGAGUCACACAACACAGCUUAAUGAGGAAACACUUGGCCUGGCUCAGCAAUUAGUGGGGUCGUUUCAGCACUCAGAAACCAGUUAACCCGUCCUUGAUGGCACAAUUUCACAACUCCCUUAAACCAGGAAUUAGCCAGGGCCCCUGUCAGGAGAAGUGAUGCUUUCCAGUCCCAGCUGGGAGUUUUUGCCUAAUGCCAUCUCCUUUCCCAAGCACAUGUUGUGCCCUGAACUGGAGCAGGGCACUGGACAGGUUCAAAAGGAAACGUCUGUAUGAGUUAGUUUUGACUUUUUCCACUUCUCCAAAACACUUUGGUGCAAAGGUUUGUGCCAGCUCAGGUAGAAGGAGGGUGUGGGUGAAGGAAGAGGUGCUGAUGGUACCGUUUCAAUAGUGGUAGUGCCUGUCUGUGUAGUCUAAAAGGAUCUGUGAAUUUGUGACCUCUUGGUUGGACAGGGCUCUGAGCAACCUGAUCUUGUUGAAGCGGUCCCUGCUCAUUGCAGGGGCUUGGACUAGAUGACCUUUAAAUGUCCUUUCCAAUCCAAACCAUUCUAUGAUUUGUCAUUAAGGACGGUGAUGUACAGACACUGCUGUUCACCUCCCAAGACCCGAUCCUGGCAUCCUCAUGCAGAGGUGUAUUAAAUCUCCCUCAGAGAAAAACCUGUGGAUCAGGUUACUUCAGGCCCUAUUAAUGCCUCAAAAUUUGUAGUGGCUCUUGUACCUGGUCUCAGGCAGAGCUGAGUUAAAAACUUACACCCCUGAUUCUCUUGCUCCCAAUGCAUAAAACUGUGUUGUCAACACACAAGUUCUUAAGCAACGUGAGGAUUGCAUUAGAGGGAGAUUUUGCUCUGAGUUCAGAUGCUGCCUUCCAAGUAUGGGGAGCAUCUGCAUCAUCAAAAAGUAAAGCCAAGGAUGAGAUAGCCCAGGAAUUAUUUAAUAUUUGAGCCAAUAAAAACUGCAUCAGACCAUCCCAAAGAAAUAUUUGUGCAGUUAAAAGGGAGAGAACAACCAAUGGUCUGGUAAGAGGAAGAUGUAAACCUUCCUGAUUAAAGAUAAAGGAAAUCUCCUGGAGAAAAGAAAAAGCUGAAUAAAUCUUCAAAGAGGGAUCUCAACUGUGCAGGGAAAGCCAAAUUCCCAACACUUAACACUUCCUGUAGUGCAGAGAGGAUGGAAGCCUGACAAUCACAUAAGAGAUCUUCAGCUAGAAAGACCAGGGAAGAAAACCGCUAAAAGUGAUCCCAGACACAAAAUUCUCACAUCAAAUACAUCCAAAUUCUCACAUCAACUACAGCUCUGGACCCCUCAAGACAAGAAGGAUGUUGAGUGCUAGAACAUGUUCAGAGAAGACAGCAGAGCUGGGGAAGGGUCUGGAGCACAGAUCUGGUGAGGAGCAGCUGAGAGAGCUGGGGGUGUUUAGCCUGGAGGAAAGGAGUUCCAGGGGUGACCUGGCUCUCUACAGCUCCUUGACAGGAGGCUGUAGCCGGGUGGGGUUUGUCUCUUCUCCCAGGUAACAAGCAAUAAGACAAGAGGAAAUCUCCUCAAGUUACACCAGGGGAGGUGUGUAUUGGAUAUUAGGAAAAAUUCCUUCACUGAAAGGGUUGUCAAGCACUAGAAGAGACUGCCCAGGUUAGUGGUAGUCAGCAUUCCUAGAGGCAUCUAAAGGACUUGGAGACAUGGAUUAGUGGUGGACUUGGCAGUGUUGGGUUAGUGGUUGGACUGGAUGAUUCUAAAGGCAUUUUCCAACCUCACUGACAGAUAUGGUUUUGUAGUUUCAAGUGGGAAGGAUCUUUGGAUCCAUAGGUCCUAAAGAAGGCAGUGAGACUGCAGGGGCAGAGUUGAGGACCUGGGUGGUCCUGUCCUGACCAGCCAUGUCCUGGGGCUCUGGGAGAGGCACCAGCUGAGACACUCGGGCUUUCCUAAAAGGUGCUACCAGAACAAGGAGCUGAGCAACUGGAGAGCUGUGAAAAGACAGAUUAACAAACAACUGUGGCAUUCACAUUCUCUGAAAAAAAUCCCUUCGCCCACAAUUUUUCUCCUGGGAAGCUGAGAAGCUUUAGAGAAAAGGAAAACAAUCUUAUCUCAUUCGCUUCUCCUGUGUUGUGCUCCUGUGGAAUGUGUUUGGAGCUUGUUUACUCACAGGUGAUUGUUUCACUGGAUUCUGGUGUGAGUUGUUUUCACUCUUUGGCCAAUCAGGGCCAAGCUGUGUCGGGACUCUGGAAAGAGUCACCAGUUUUCAUUAUCAUCUUUUUAGCCUUCUUCAAGUGUCCUUUCUGUAUUCUUUAGUAUAGUAUGGUAUUCUUUAAUAUAAUAUAGUAUCAUAAAGUAAUAAAUUAGCCUUCUGAGAACAUGGAGUCAGAUGCAUCAUUCCUGCCUUCGUCGGGGCAAUUCUCAGCAAAUACAAUAAACAACCUCUUUUACAGGUGAACCUGGCCCAAGUCACUCCACACUGAGGGUGGCCAGGCUCAAGGAUCUUCUUUUCAAUUAAUUCUCUCAGUGUUCCAUGGACCCAAGCUCACAGCAGCAGCAACAGAUGCUUAGAUACCGUGGUGAUGGGUGCUGUACAAAACCUUGCAUAGCUAUGGAAACCACAGUUGCAUUUAUCCAUCAGAAAUGAGUAUCUGGCAGCCCAUGUCUAUCCUUCAUGUUCUGGAAGAUCAUGAAAAAAAUACUUGUACAUGGCAUUAUAUUUCACAGCUUUCUUUUCUACUUGGCAACGCACACUUAUCUCUAUUUGAUAAUAAUAAUGGUACAUGUAUUUUUAGACUAACAUUAUGUGAUAUUAAUUCCAAACGUAAUCCAAUGUAAUGCAAGCUGAGAAAAAAAGCCUUUAGAGAGAGGAAUUGAGAAAAUGAAAUAAGAUUUAACCUGGUAACAAAUAGACAAUUUAUUUCAGAGUUUAAAUAAACACUUUUUAAAUUCAAAAAACAAAGAAAACAGCAGAUAGUACAUUUUUGGAUCAUUCAGUCUUCAGUUUUCAUGUUCAAAAAGUCUUCCUAAUUGUCUGAUUUUGCUAAGCAGAGUGUAAGAACAGAACAUGUACUGUAUCUGUCACGUCUUUAUAACCCAGAGGAAUGAGAACAAGACUAAGAGGAGGCAUUUCAGAGCCUCCCUCAUGGGUCUGACAAUGCCUGUAUCAUCAGGGACAAGUGUCAUUCCUUCUCUCUUCUCCUUUCUCAUUUCCAAAAUUAAGGCAAUAAUACAAAGCUGUAGAUAUCUGCAUUAGAAGGGGAAAAAAAUUCAAAUGGAGGUGAUAGAGCUGCUUUUCACCAGCAGUAAUUGGCUGCAUUCAAAGCUGUGGGUAAAAGUGAAAUAACUGUGACAGCACCGUGGUACCUUGUGCUUUUACCUGCCCUAUUUUUCCCCAGCAGGGAGCUCGUCCUGCAUUCCCAGGCAGCCACCAUGGCUGAGCUGGCAGCUGCAUGUUGCUGACUUGGUCAUUCAUGCUCUGUGGAUGUGCUCCAAAACCACUCACAUCCACAGGCCAGGAAAGAGCUUGACAGACCCUGAGUAAAAUCCUGGCCCUGAGUGAAAUCUGUGGCAAAAUUUCUGAAGGUGAAGGGAUGCUCCUUACUGCCUUGGUUACCAUGGGGUCACCAGGAAACACCUCCUCUCCUCUUGUGCCUGCACUAUGAGCUCUCCAGCUGUCCUGGGAAACAAAGACAUGGAAAAUGGAAACUUUGGACACUGCAGAGAGGUGCUGGCUCUUUGCAUGGGUGCUCCAGAAACACAGGGAGAAGGAAUUCUGUGUGUAAUGCCUUUGUUAGCUAAUUAUCUGGAAAUGAUCUGGAAAUGAACUGUGAUUCUAAGUUCAUUAAAAUACUUAUCUGGGAAAAAAAAAA
Haemorhous mexicanus (house finch) is the source of this 5651-nucleotide long non-coding RNA. RefSeq lists it as uncharacterized. The record is from RefSeq and is a predicted model, not a curated record. The transcript has 3 exons. NCBI's taxonomy places the organism in Eukaryota, Metazoa, Chordata, Aves, Passeriformes, Fringillidae.